AGAUUGAACGCUGGCGGCAUGCCUUACACAUGCAAGUCGAACGGCAGCACGGGAGCAAUCCUGGUGGCGAGUGGCGAACGGGUGAGUAAUAUAUCGGAACGUGCCCAGUCGUGGGGGGAUAACGCAGCGAAAGCUGUGCUAAUACCGCAUACGAUCUAUGGAUGAAAGCGGGGGAUCGCAAGACCUCGCGCGAUUGGAGCGGCCGAUAUCAGAUUAGCUAGUUGGUGGGGUAAAAGCCUACCAAGGCGACGAUCUGUAGCUGGUCUGAGAGGACGACCAGCCACACUGGAACUGAGACACGGUCCAGACUCCUACGGGAGGCAGCAGUGGGGAAUUUGGACAAUGGGCGCAAGCCUGAUCCAGCAAUGCCGCGUGCAGGAUGAAGGCUUCGGUUGUAAACUGCUUUUGUACGAACGAACGGUUCUCGUCUAAUACAGGGCUAAGUGACGUACCGUAAGAAUAAGACACCGCAA
Molecule: ribosomal RNA, 473 nt
Filed under: uncultured soil bacterium
Lineage: Bacteria
Description: bacterial SSU rRNA
Rfam family: Bacterial small subunit ribosomal RNA
Source: RNAcentral